This 301-nucleotide ribosomal RNA is filed under the name uncultured bacterium. RNAcentral describes it as "partial 16S ribosomal RNA". It matches the Rfam family "Bacterial small subunit ribosomal RNA", at positions 509 to 807 of the family's 1533-position model. The record is from RNAcentral.
CAGCCGCCGCGGGAAUACGAAGGGGGCUAGCGUUGUUCGGAAUUACUGGGCGUAAAGCGCACGCAGGCGGCUCGAUAAAUUAGAAGUGAAAGCCUUGGGCUUAACCUGAGAAUUGCUUUUAAGACUGUCGAGCUAGAAUCCAGAAGAGGGUAGUGGAAUUCCGAGUGUAGAGGUGAAAUUCGUAGAUAUUCGGAAGAACACCAGUGGCGAAGGCGACUACCUGGUCUGGCAUUGACGCUCAUGUGCGAAAGCGUGGGGAGCAAACAGGAUUAGAUACCCCAGUAGUCCCUGUCUCUUAUAC